This 518-nucleotide ribosomal RNA is filed under the name Hepatozoon canis. Its description in RNAcentral is "bacterial SSU rRNA". It matches the Rfam family "Eukaryotic small subunit ribosomal RNA", at positions 200 to 707 of the family's 1831-position model. The record is from RNAcentral. Lineage: Eukaryota; Apicomplexa; Hepatozoidae.
GACGCAUUUAUUAGAUAAAAAGCCAGUUCAUGCUUUUACAGUAUGAAAAUUGGUGAUUUAUAAUAACUUAGCAAAUCGCAAAGUGAAAACAGGCGAUAAAUCAUUCAAGUUUCUGACCUAUCAGCUUUCGACGGUAUGGUAUUGGCUUACCGUGGCAGUGACGGUUAACGGGGGAUUAGGGUUCGAUUCCGGAGAGGGAGCCUGAGAAACGGCUACCACAUCUAAGGAAGGCAGCAGGCGCGCAAAUUACCCAAUUCUAACAGUUUGAGAGAGGUAGUAACAAGAAAUAACAAUACAAGGCAGUUAAAAUGCUUUGUAAUUGGAAUGAUAGAAAUUUAAACCCUUUUUAAAGUAUCAAUUGGAGGGCAAGUCUGGUGCCAGCAGCCGCGGUAAUUCCAGCUCCAAUAGCGUAUAUUAAAAUUGUUGCAGUUAAAAAGCUCGUAGUUGAAGUUCUGCUGAAAGUAACCGGUCUGCUUUUAAUAAAAGUGGUAUCUUGGUAUGUAUUUAGCAAUGAUGUC